This 776-nucleotide ribosomal RNA is filed under the name Gammarus leopoliensis. RNAcentral's name for it is "eukaryotic LSU rRNA". It matches the Rfam family "Eukaryotic large subunit ribosomal RNA", at positions 157 to 605 of the family's 3401-position model. RNAcentral also lists the same sequence under 1 other name. The record is from RNAcentral. Lineage: Eukaryota; Metazoa; Arthropoda; Malacostraca; Amphipoda; Gammaridae.
UAAGUCAGCCACGAAUAGGCUAUCCCAACUAACGGCGGGAAAGACUCCACGGAGGGUGUAAGACCCGUGUGGGCGCGUGUUAAAGCUGUGCGGGCUCGGCCUCUAUUCCCUGAGAGUCGCGUUGCUUGAGCAUGCAGCGCUAAGCAGGUCGUAAACUCGAUCUAAGGCUAAAUAUGUCCACAGAACCGAUAGCGAACAAGUACCGUGAGGGAAAGUUGAAAAGCACUCUGGAGAGAGAGUCAAAAGACCGUGAAACCGCUCAGAGUAUAAGCCCAUGGCAGCUUGGAAGGCAUAUCGCUAGCGGGGCAUCGGUCUCCCUUCGCGGGGAGCUGGUGUUACCUUGCUUCUGUUGUGGCUCGUCAUGGUAGGGGGGUCAAGUCCACAUCCCGCCGUCGUGUGGGGGGUUCUUGGGUGUGUUGUGGUUUCUCGGUUGGCUUCGGCUGGCCGGGGGGCCCUUCGUGCUUGGUUCCUCUUUGGACACGGACGUUCAGACUCAGAGGUAAGAUGCGAUAAACAGCCCACCACGGCACGUUGUGAGGUCACCCACAGGCUCGACUUUCGAUCGUGAGCCUUGACGCCGAGCAAGCACAAUGCGUGUCGCAAAGGUUCCUAACCAGGCAACGCUGCCAGGACCGUGGAACGACACGCGCUCAACAGUCAGGUUCGGGCGGAGACAGAGUUCUGGUACGAUCCUCUUGCGACGAGCCGGCUUCUGGCCAACAUCCGAUGCUCAGGUCUCCCGCAUGUGCCGCGGGAGAUCGCCUUGACGGUCUGGA